UCACAGACUAACACCUAACCGAGUCAGUUCCGAGGCCCUGCGUCAUUAGUUUAACCAGAGCUCCGGUUUAAACCGAAACCACACUGCUAAUCGGCCAUCAGUUUACACAAAACGCAAGAUCGAUUAUCCGGUCGCCUCCCGGGCCGGGGGCCUUUAACUCGAGUCGCUAAUCCGUUUCCUUGUAUCGCCCCGUCUCCGACCUCGCUCGCCGCCAUGGAUGGUUCGAAGGGGAGCGUAGGUGGCGGGGACGGGACCGGGCCCGAAAAGCCAAGCGCCGAUUCGAACCCUAGCCUUGACCCGCCCCAACCUACCGCGGCGGCUGUCGAAGCCACAGAUGACGGUGCGGCCGCGGCUGCGGCCGAGGCGGCCAGGCGGCCCUUCACGGCCCUCAGCCAAGAGGAAGCUGACCUCGCCCUCGCCCGCGUCCUGCAGGAGCAGGAGCGGGCGUACAUGUUGCUUCGGAUGAACGGGGGCGGUGGCGAGGGCAGCGACUACGGGAGCUCUGAUGAAGGGAGCUACGAAUAUGACGAAGAGGGAGAGGAGGACUACGAAGAGGAACUGGAGCACCGCCUCCGCGUCCACCACCACGAGCACCCCUCGGGCGAUGGUGAGGGAGAGGGCGGGGGCGAGGGCGAGGGCGCCGAGGGGAGCGACUACGACGAAGAGUUCGAGGAGGACGAAGAAGGGGAGCCGGAGGUAGAUCCCGCGGAGUUUGAGGACGAUGAGGCUUAUGCGCGUGCGCUGCAGGAUGCUGAGGAGCGUGAGGUCGCCGCACGGCUUAUGGCUCUCGCUGGUCUCAGCGAUUGGCGAACAGUGGAGGUGGAGCAUGAGGAGGAUCAUGCGAAUGAUCCACAGGAGGCAUGGCAAGAGGUCGAUCCAGAUGAAUACUCUUAUGAGGAGCUAGUCGCAUUGGGUGAAGUAGUUGGCACAGAAAACAGAGGUCUCUCUGCUGAUACACUUGGUUCUUUACCUUCAGUAACAUACAAGCUGCAACAUGUUCAGGAUGGCAACACAGAGCAAUGCGUAAUUUGCCGUGUGGAAUUGGAGGAGGGUGAAUCUUUGAUUGCACUCCCCUGCAAGCACUUAUACCAUCCUGAAUGCAUAAACCAGUGGCUGCAAAUAAAUAAGGAAGAUUGAAAGAGCAAAUCAAUAAACCUUGGAAGCAGUAUAUAUUUCAGCAUUUCUGCUGGCGGAUCAUGCCAUGUCAACCCCUACCUUGAAAAGUAUGCCCUAUGUGCAGCGCAGAAGUAUCAACCUCGGGUAACAAGGAGCCAUGACUGCUCCUCCGAUGGCUAUCUUGGGAACUUGGUGGGAAUAACUAGCGGCAUCACUGCAGCAUCUGUAUUGUCGAAACAAAAGCAGAAAAAACGGUCUACAUACAUGCAAGGAGAUCAGGAUAUAAUCCUCUUGUCAGUCUAAAGUUCUGCCCUUGGUUCCCUGCUAACUGGAUUGAUUGGCCUUGCCGCUUAUUAUCUCAGUUCCCUAUGAACGCCUUAUGGCUGUUGUAUGAUCCAUAAAUUAUGCUAAUUAUAUUAUAUUGUUAGUCAUUCUUUUUACUGAUCGCAUGAUCAUCUUAUA
Molecule: RNA transcript, 1578 nt
Organism: Zea mays
Lineage: Eukaryota; Viridiplantae; Streptophyta; Magnoliopsida; Poales; Poaceae
Gene name: protein binding protein
Exons: 9
Source: RefSeq, marked validated